AAAUAAUGUAAAAGAUUUCUUUAAAUAGUUACAAAAAUAUCCUCUCUGUGUUGCUUAAAUAAUAUUUUUUCCUUUUACCUCCUUUUUCUGUUUUUAGGAUUAUAAUGCAAUUAUGAAUGGACUUCCUAAGUAAGAUUUGGCUCACCUAGCUUGGACUGUCAGCUCUCAUUUAAAAUAUCGAAUUUAGGCUUUUGAACUAGGCUACCAAGCCUCCAGAUACAACUACAAUGCAGAUCAGAGGGAAUAUACAGCAAUGCAGGACUAUACUAAAAUGUUUGAUUCAACAAAAGACAACAGGAGUGAGUUUCAAUAAAUUAAACUAAAUUGAAUAAUAAAUAAUAAUUGUUGGUUUCUUGUUUCCUUAAA
This 366-nucleotide long non-coding RNA is filed under the name Anas platyrhynchos platyrhynchos (common mallard). Its description in RNAcentral is "lncRNA (ENSAPLG00000026812.1)". Lineage: Eukaryota; Metazoa; Chordata; Aves; Anseriformes; Anatidae. The record is from RNAcentral.